Molecule: ribosomal RNA, 460 nt
Filed under: uncultured bacterium
Lineage: Bacteria
Description: partial 16S ribosomal RNA
Rfam family: Bacterial small subunit ribosomal RNA
Source: RNAcentral
CCUACGGGCGGCUGCAGUGAGGAAUAUUGGUCAAUGGACGAGAGUCUGAACCAGCCAAGUAGCGUGAAGGAUGACUGUCCUAUGGGUUGUAAACUUCUUUUAUAAAGGAAUAAAACGCGGCACGUGUGCCUUUUUGCAUGUACUUUAUGAAUAAGGAUCGGCUAACUCCGUGCCAGCAGCCGCGGUAAUACGGAGGGUCCGAGCGUUAUCCGGAUUUAGUGGGUUUAAAGGGUGCGUAGAUGGGUUGUUAAGUCAGUUGUGAAAGUUUGCGGCUCAACCGUAAAAUUGCAAUUGAUACUGGCAGUCUUGAGUACAGUUGAGGUAAGCGGAAUUCGUGGUGUAGCGGUGAAAUGCGUAGAUAUCACGAAGAACCCUGAUUGCGAAGGCAGCUUACUAAACUGUGACUGACAUUGAUGCUCGAAAGUGUGGGUAUCAAACAGGAUUAGAUACCCGAGUAGUC